CCUACGGGAGGCUGCAGUAGGGAAUCUUCCACAAUGGACGAAAGUCUGAUGGAGCAACGCCGCGUGAGUGAAGAAGGGUUUCGGCUCGUAAAGCUCUGUUGGUAGUGAGGAAAGAUAGAGGUAGUAACUGGCCUUUAUUUGACGGUAAUUACUUAGAAAGUCACGGCUAACUACGGGACAGAAGCCGCGGUAAUACGAAGGUUGCAAGCGUUGUCCGGAUUUAUUGGGCUGAAAGCGAGUGCAGGCGGGUUCAUAAGUCUGAUGUGAAAGCCUUCAGCUCAACCGGAGAAUUGCAUCAGAAACUGUUGAACUUGAGUGCAGAAGGGGCGAGUGGAACUCCAUGUGUAGCGGUGGAAUGCGUAGAUAUAUGGAAGAACACCAGUGGCGAAGGCGGCUCUCUGGUCUGCAACUGACGCUGAGGCUCGAAAGCAUGGGUAGCGAACAGGAUUAGAUACCCUAGUAGUC
This 465-nucleotide ribosomal RNA is filed under the name uncultured bacterium. RNAcentral describes it as "partial 16S ribosomal RNA". It matches the Rfam family "Bacterial small subunit ribosomal RNA", at positions 338 to 795 of the family's 1533-position model. The record is from RNAcentral.